RNAcentral lists this ribosomal RNA (481 nucleotides) under uncultured bacterium. RNAcentral's name for it is "partial 16S ribosomal RNA". It matches the Rfam family "Bacterial small subunit ribosomal RNA", at positions 30 to 507 of the family's 1533-position model. The record is from RNAcentral.
UUGAACGCUGGCGGCAUGCCUUACACAUGCAAGUCGCACGGUAACAGGUCUUCGGAUGCUGACGAGUGGCGAACGGGUGAGUAAUACAUCGGAACGUGCCCGAUCGUGGGGGAUAACGAGGCGAAAGCUUUGCUAAUACCGCAUACGAUCUACGGAUGAAAGCGGGGGAUCUUCGGACCUCGCGCGGACGGAGCGGCCGAUGGCAGAUUAGGUAGUUGGUGGGAUAAAAGCUUACCAAGCCGACGAUCUGUAGCUGGUCUGAGAGGAUGAUCAGCCACACUGGGACUGAGACACGGCCCAGACUCCUACGGGAGGCAGCAGUGGGGAAUUUUGGACAAUGGGCGAAAGCCUGAUCCAGCCAUGCCGCGUGCAGGAUGAAGGCCUUCGGGUUGUAAACUGCUUUUGUACGGAACGAAAAGCCUCUUUCUAAUAAAGAGGGGUCAUGACGGUACCGUAAGAAUAAGCACCGGCUAACUACGUG